GUGAGGAAUAUUGGUCAAUGGGCGGAAGCCUGAACCAGCCAUGCCGCGUGCAGGAAGACGGUCCUAUGGAUUGUAAACUGCUUUUAUUCGGGAAUAAACCUCCUUACGUGUAGGGAGCUGAAGGUACCGAAUGAAUAAGCACCGGCUAACUCCGUGCCAGCAGCCGCGGUAAUACGGAGGGUGCAAGCGUUAUCCGGAAUCAUUGGGUUUAAAGGGUCCGCAGGCGGGAAUAUAAGUCAGUGGUGAAAGCCCGUUGCUUAACAACGGAACUGCCAUUGAUACUGUAUUUCUUGAAUUCGAUCGAAGUGGGCGGAAUAUGACAUGUAGCGGUGAAAUGCUUAGAUAUGUCAUAGAACACCGAUAGCGAAGGCAGCUCACUAGGUCUGGAUUGACGCUCAGGGACGAAAGCGUGGGGAGCAAACAGG
RNAcentral lists this ribosomal RNA (425 nucleotides) under uncultured Fluviicola sp. RNAcentral's name for it is "bacterial SSU rRNA". It matches the Rfam family "Bacterial small subunit ribosomal RNA", at positions 354 to 776 of the family's 1533-position model. The record is from RNAcentral. Lineage: Bacteria; Pseudomonadati; Bacteroidota; Flavobacteriia; Flavobacteriales; Crocinitomicaceae.